GAGAGUUAAACAGUACGUGAAAUUGUUGAAAGGGAAACGAUUGAAGUCAGUCAUACUAACGGGAAAUCAACCUCUUGAGUUUGGUCUCGUGGGUUUCGAAGAGUUUUAAAAGCCUUCGGAUUUUCGAGAUUGGGCUCUUCUGGUGUACUUUCUCGUACGGUUAGUCAACAUCGGUUUUGAAUGUCAUAAAAUGACUGGAGGAAUGUGGCUUCGAUCUCGUAUUGAAGUGUUAUAGCCUUUGGUAGAUGUGAUGUUUGAGACCGAGGAUUGCAACGGAUACCCUUCUGGGCUAUUCGUCUGAUCUCUGAAACGUUGCCUUGAUGUCGAAAGCUUGCUUAUGAUGUUAGGGUAUUACGGUCAAAAGGUUAGAACGGAUUAAAUUCGUUAAGGAUGUUGACGUAAUGACUUUAAACGA
This 415-nucleotide ribosomal RNA is filed under the name uncultured Funneliformis. RNAcentral's name for it is "partial 28S ribosomal RNA". The record is from RNAcentral. Lineage: Eukaryota; Fungi; Glomeromycota; Glomeromycetes; Glomerales; Glomeraceae.